This 1612-nucleotide long non-coding RNA is filed under the name Fragaria vesca (wild strawberry). Its description in RNAcentral is "long non-coding RNA (FVES_LNC002790)". Lineage: Eukaryota; Viridiplantae; Streptophyta; Magnoliopsida; Rosales; Rosaceae. The record is from RNAcentral.
CCCUCGGUGCAAUAUGUAUCUUUUCUCUUAGAUAUAUGAUCUACUAAUACCGAGAACAAAGAAUCUUCAGAAGUUCCUAAUACGGUAAUACACAAGGUGCACAGUGUUUGACAUCACAGAAAUAAAAGCAUUAUCCAAUAUAAGCAUUAUCAAAGAAGGUCUAUACUAACAUUGCCAACAGCCAACAUAAGAACUUCACCCUAAAACCAUCCCAGAACACUACAAUUGCUGGUGGAUGGGUAGCAAUGGAGGCGCGCAGCGGCAAUAUCUUAUGGUCCACGGCCAAUAUUGCUAAUGAUGCUACCUCCCCGGCUGCAGCUACUGUGGCAAAUGGUGUUGUUUUUGGUGGCUCUACUUACAAAGAAGGACCAAUAGAUGCAAUGAAUGCCAAGACAGGAAAGAUUUUGUGGUCGUAUGAUACAGGAGCAACUGUGUAUGGGGGGAUAUCGGUAAGCAACGGAUACAUCUACCUUGGAAAUGGUUACAAGGUCUUUAAUGGAUUUGUUAACCCGAAUUACACUGCAGGAACCUCGUUUUAUGCCUUCUGUGUUUAACAACUACAAAUAUCCCCUGGGGCCUCGGUGCAAUAUGUAUCCUUUCUCUUAGAUAAAUGAUCUGCUAAUAAUGAGAAUAGUAAAUGUUCUGAAGUUAAAAAAUAUACAAGUUAUAAUUAUAAAGAUGGGAAUAAUUAUAAAGAUGUAAAGGGGAUACAGAACUUGAUUUAAAUGUAUAGGCUAUAGUUUUGUGAUAACAACCUAUGCAUUAUUGAUAACAUUUUUCUCAUAUUACUUUCAUUUCACAAAACAGAAAAUGUAUAGAGAGCUCUGAGAAUAAUUAUAAAGAUGGGAUAAUUUCAUAACUUACUUCCAAGAAGGCUGCAUUUGCAGGAUCAUCCACCCUCCGGAUCAGUGGACCAUCAACCAUGACACAGGCAAAACAGCUACAAGCUUACAACAUUAUCAAAUUUGCCAGGACCUAAAACUCAUCAUCACCAGCACCAGGAAACAUAUAAGGCACAACAAAUUCAAGUAACAUAUACAAAAAAUGAAAAAUGUCCAAAACAAGAAUAAAACCAAAACUUAGAAGCAACAAACUAAUAACUUAAACUAGAACAUACAAAAUGCAAUUCGAAACUUAAUUAAGCACAGACGCUCCAAACUUGCUAACACCAAAUCAGUUCUCAUUCCCACAUCACUAACAUACAUUCAUCAAUGGAUAUGCAAUGUGCUGUUUAUAUAAUAUAAUACUCAACAUUUUUAACCCAAUUUUUCACAAAACAACUCGGAAACUAAACCAAUAUACAGUAGCCAUACCAUACCUGCAAUCGAUGACUCUAACAACCUUCCGACUCAGAAAUUAAACCUCAUCUCUCUCUCCCUCCUCAGUCCUCACAGUCCACAGACGCAAAACAAAGAGGGAAACAAUGGCUUAUCAUGUAUCUGUAAAUGUUAUCUUGAUUUAUAGGUUAUAGUUUUGUGAUACACAACUUGAUGUAAAGGGGAACCUUCUGCCUACAGGACUUCCGUCUUAAGUCGGAAGACAAACUAGUUUUCGUUACAUAUAUGGAGUCCAGAUUUCAAGAGGAGUCCCAUCCCGCGAGCUAUUCAAACGU